This is a transfer RNA of Cavia porcellus (domestic guinea pig), 73 nucleotides long. It matches the Rfam family "tRNA". From Rfam's summary of the family: Transfer RNA (tRNA) molecules are approximately 80 nucleotides in length. The record is from Rfam. NCBI's taxonomy places the organism in Eukaryota, Metazoa, Chordata, Mammalia, Rodentia, Caviidae.
GCCUUCUUAGUGUAGUAGGCAGCACAUCAGUCUCAUAAUCUGAAGGUUCUGAGUUCAAGCUUCAGAGGGGGCA